CUGCAGUGAUGAGUUAGAUGUGACUGAUCUGGUAUUGCUUUUCCUCCGGGGACGCUCUGACCAGGGAAUGAUAACUUAAUCUUCUCUCUGAGCAG
This is a small nucleolar RNA of Cottoperca gobio, 95 nucleotides long. The record is from Ensembl. Lineage: Eukaryota; Metazoa; Chordata; Actinopteri; Perciformes; Bovichtidae.